AAUAUUGCGCAAUGGAGGGAACUCUGACGCAGCGACGCCGCGUGAGCGAUGAAGGUCUUCGGAUCGUAAAGCUCUGUCCUUGGGGACGAAGGUCUUCGGACUUGACGGUACCUAAGGAGGAAGCCCCGGCUAACUACGUGCCAGCAGCCGCGGCAAUACGUAGGGGGCAAGCGUUGUCCGGAAUUACUGGGCGUAAAGGGUGCGUAGGCGGCCUAAUAAGUCAGAUGUGAAAUACCGAGGCUCAACCUCGGAGGUGCAUUUGAAACUGUUGGGCUUGAGUGCAGGAGAGGAAAGUGGAAUUCCUAGUGUAGCGGUGAAAUGCGUAGAGAUUAGGAGGAACACCAAUGGCGAAGGCGACUUUCUGGACUGUAACUGACGCUGAGGCACGAAAGCGUGGGGAGCAAAC
RNAcentral lists this ribosomal RNA (406 nucleotides) under uncultured bacterium. RNAcentral describes it as "partial 16S ribosomal RNA". It matches the Rfam family "Bacterial small subunit ribosomal RNA", at positions 360 to 773 of the family's 1533-position model. The record is from RNAcentral.